RNAcentral lists this ribosomal RNA (484 nucleotides) under uncultured bacterium. RNAcentral's name for it is "partial 16S ribosomal RNA". It matches the Rfam family "Bacterial small subunit ribosomal RNA", at positions 30 to 507 of the family's 1533-position model. The record is from RNAcentral.
AUUGAACGCUGGCGGCAGGCCUAACACAUGCAAGUCGAGCGGAUGAAGGGAGCUUGCUCCUGGAUUCAGCGGCGGACGGGUGAGUAAUGCCUAGGAAUCUGCCUUGUAGUUGGGGAUAACGUCCGGAAACGGGCGCUAAUACCGCAUACGUCCUGAGGGAGAAAGUGGGGGAUCUUCGGACCUCACGCUAUCAGAUGAGCCUAGGUCGGAUUAGCUAGUUGGUGGGGUAAAGGCCUACCAAGGCGACGAUCCGUAACUGGUCUGAGAGGAUGAUCAGUCACACUGGAACUGAGACACGGUCCAGACUCCUACGGGAGGCAGCAGUGGGGAAUAUUGGACAAUGGGCGAAAGCCUGAUCCAGCCAUGCCGCGUGUGUGAAGAAGGUCUUCGGAUUGUAAAGCACUUUAAGUUGGGAGGAAGGGCAGUAAGUUAAUACCUUGCUGUUUUGACGUUACCAACAGAAUAAGCACCGGCUAACUUCGUG